Molecule: unclassified non-coding RNA, 243 nt
Filed under: Hevea brasiliensis (rubber tree)
Lineage: Eukaryota; Viridiplantae; Streptophyta; Magnoliopsida; Malpighiales; Euphorbiaceae
Source: RNAcentral
GCCAAAAGCUCUUUUUCAGGUACUCAUCCAUUAUUGGCUGUUCCUAUAAGCUUAGAGGUAUUAUCACUUUACUCAUUUCUUUCCAGGACUGUUUAACUAGUAGACAUCAGGGUAUACUUUGCCUAGUCCUUAAAGCCAUUUAUUCUGACACUUCUAUUUAUAUUAGUUUUUGAAGCACGUGUGUUGCAUGUGCAUCAUGUGAUUUUUUAUUUUAUUAAUUAUUUUAUUUAUAAUUAUAUUUAU